Molecule: long non-coding RNA, 6515 nt
Filed under: Homo sapiens (human)
Lineage: Eukaryota; Metazoa; Chordata; Mammalia; Primates; Hominidae
Description: HSALNT0119401
Source: RNAcentral
CCAGUUCUAGAAGAAUUCUUCUUUUCCUCUGCUGAAAAAGGGAGUUCAGUUCAAAGCCAUCAGAAAUAUUUCAAGCAAAACUAUUUUUCUUCCCACAAGAAAAAUCAAUCACAAUAGAUAUAAUCUGUCUAAAAGUGAUAAAUGAACAUGAAACCAGGCUACACUCUUUGACUCUGCUUUCCUGCACAUCAGAACAUUCACAUUCUCUCUCUGCCAUCAGAUGAAGCUUAAAAUAAAAAUCACUGUGGACUGAAGCCAAGGUUAAAUCUCUAUAGACUACCAUGAGUCAAGCACACUAUUUACCUGAGGAUAAACAACUUUGCCUACAGGGCCAAUUCCUGCCAAACUGCUGAGAUUUUUAUAUUACUUGAGGCUCAUAACAUCACUUAUUAUUGUUAAUUAUUCUAAGCUCUGCAAUUUAACAGGCAAAAAUAUUUACAAUUCAUUUCACUCAGGUUGGAAUUUAGCUUCGUUUUUCUAUAUUAAAUUCUAAAGAAUAGCUAUGCUCCUUUUAUAUCCAACACUAACAGAUGUUAGUUUCCUCAGUUUUAUGGCUCUCAGAUGACAGACAACUAACUGUUUUUGGCCUUCGGAAUAAUUGCAACACCUUUGGAUUAUGAACUUGGUUCAGUUCUUAGCUGGGAACGGCAGGGGGUUAGUUCUUAUUAUCAAAGAUGUAAAGUAAGUUUUCCCUUAUGCUCUAGAUAUUCAUAUAAAGUUAUCUUUCAAUAGAGUAAUAUACAACUUUUCCCCCUUAUUGCUAAUCUGCUGUUUAAGUGGUUAUGGUAAGAGAAAAUAAUUGCAUAAAAAUAAAAUCUCUUAUUCAUUUUAUCUCCUGUUCUUGGCCAAAACAAGAUGUUAAAUCCAUUAAACUCUGAGUAUCCAGUAAAAGCAAGAAAGUAGAACUGUUCGUAUUUGUGCAUUCUUGGGAAAAUUGCCAACCUGUGCACUAGUAGCAGGAUCUGCGUAAUUAAUGGUGAUGUUAUUGACGGAGGGAGUCUGAUUUCCUUCUCAGGAGCAAUUUAAGAGUGCAAGCUGGCAGAGCUUUAGUAAAGCCUCACCUGAUUUAUUUUUAAAUUGAGGAAAUGUGACCUUGAAGUCAGCCAUAGAAAUCACCAAUAUUUAUGUACAUUUAUGGUGGCUUUGGUAGACUUCAAAGAAAUUCUGAAUGUACCAUUUUCUGUAGAACUGAAUGAUGAACACCAAAUGCACAAACUGACAAACAUUCCUUAAAAAGAGAACAAGUGAAUCAAAUCUUAGUUUCACUGUAUUUUUUCUCCAGAAAUCUAUAUUCAUAAGAAGAUACAUUAAAACCAAUUCUGUCCUAUCCCAAAAUGAAAUAAAAUCAGCCCCAAGUUCACACAGUCCUUUACACACAGUCUCUUGUCUCCUUUGCAGGCAACUUCCCCCUUUAUCCAGUUGUUGGACCUCAAGGACAGCCACGUAAGGAGUGUCAAUAAAGUGAGGAAUAAUCCAUGGCCUACUGAACUCACCCUCAGACUGACAGCUGUCUCUGCAACUAAGUAAGCAAACUCCGGGCUUCACGCUCCCUGGGAAACCCACAAGAGACCAGGAGGCAGCACUCUUACAGAGAACAUGAAUGGAAUCGUACUGUUAAACAUUGCUACUUGAAUCAUUAACUUUAAGAAAAUGAAGUUGGAAUAUUAAAGAAAAAGAAAAGCCCAGAAAUGCCAGCAUGAAUUGAAUGGCAACUUUGCCAGAACAAUCAGGUUUGUUAGUCCUGGAUGUUCUUUCUUUCUCAACCUCAGGGUGUGUACUAGAACAAUAAUUGACUUAAAACUUUAAUAUAUAUACUGGCUGAUGUUGGAGCCCAUCCAUAUGUCAUACUGAUGUUUCUUUUUUUGAGGCAGGAAAGGAGAAAGAGAGGAAAAUAGAAGGUCAUUUCAUGAGAACAUGCCAAUGGGAUAAAUAUGAAAGAGCAUAGUUAAUGGCUUUCUUGCAGCCCUUAGGCUAUUUUUUUGUGAAAUGAUGAGUAGCCCCAAAUCAAAGCAGGAGAAUCUCCCUAGGUGCUGACAUGACUCACCAGGUUAGUACUAUCUCUGCAGCCUGACUAGUUGGCAAGAACUUUGGUAUGCAGUGUUUGCUUACUUCUUGGAAGAAAAAGCCUUGUUUGAGUGGAAAAGGCAAAUGGAUGAACGCUGGAUUGGGCAGUAAGAUAACAGGGUUCUGGACCCAGCACUGCCAUCCCAAUGACAUUAGUGAGGCUUUUCAGGACUUUAUUUCUGUCUCUGAAAUAGGGAGAUGCCUCAAGUCUCUUGCAGCUCUAACAUUUUAUGAGUGGCCUUUAUUUCUUACUGUUUCAUAGAGGAACAGAUGUCACAUUAGGAGAGGAUACUAAGUCUCCCCAUCUGUUCCCCAUGCCAACAAGACCAUCUGACAUAGGUGUCCAUUACUAUUUAACUUGCUGUGAUCCCUUAUUCUGACCAAAGUCUGAGAAUCAUAAAGUUUUUAAUUUGAACCAAACAAUAACAAUUCUGUCAAUGAAUCCAAAAACUAACAUUUUGUAGAAGCUAAGGCUUUUCCACAUGUCGAGGACACAAAGAUGCUUCCCUAACACCAAGAAAUGCAUGGUCCAGUUGAGACAGCCCUGUUAGUUAAGAAUUACAAUUCUGUGUGUAAAAUGCCCACAGUGACCUUGAACGGGAAUAAGUAGAACACGUAUUUAAGAUGAUGGAAAAGUAUGGGAAGACUUGCCAGGAAAAAUAACACUUGACUGAGUAUUUGAAAGAUCAUUAGAAAUUAGAGUGCAAAUGUGCUCCUAAAAACCUAAUAGUUGAUCAUCCUGAUGUCUUGAUUGCCUUUCCAAAUCUUUUCUUGAUCUUCAGCAGAGUGAGGUCAUGGGAUAUCCCUGGAAGGGGAAACAGCACAUACAAAUAUACAGAGACUGGAGUCUCUGUGUUUUACUGGGUGACCGUCAACUGCUGGGAAUGACUAGAACAUAGGAAGAGUCUGGAGUGGGAUGGAUGAGACUGCUAUGGUAGGCAAGGGCUAAUUAAUACACACUCUUGAAUGACACUCUGAUGAUCCUGGACUUCAACCUGAGGAUGAUCAGGGGGCAUUUUAGGCAGACAAGGUAUAGAAUCAGGCUUAUGUUUUUAAAAGAUCCCUUUGGAGAGAUUAUGGGUGAUGGAUUGGAAGGUGAUAACAGUGGGGGCAGGAAGACCAAUUUCACAUCUUGGCAAAAGUCCAAGUGGGAAACCAUGAUGUCUAAUCCAAAACGAAGUAACAGAAUCGAAACGAGAAGACACUAAGAGAGAUUUGGGAGGUUGAAAAUGUAUCUUUGGCCUACCCUACAUCUCUCAACUUUGAAAGUUAUUUCUGAAUUGACAGUUCCAUUCCCAGGGCCUAGUUUCGCUAGAUCACAAUGCCAAAUACUAUCCAGCUCUAAUAUUUCAUGAUUGGCCUUUCUUUAUCUUACUGUUUCACGAAGGAACAGAUGUCACAUUAGGGGAGGAAAUUCAGUCUCACCACCCACUUUCCAUGUCAACAAGACCUGUUGACAUGGGUGUCCGCUACUAUUAAACUUACUUUCAAGUUAAUGUUAUUGUAGUAUUACCCAAGUUGAAAAUUCCAUAUACCAUCUAUAAGUACAUAUAUUGUAAUGAGUUACAUAAAAUAUUAUUAUUAAACGUUAUUUUAGCAGAUGACAUUUACAAAGCUAGUGAUGCCUUAUGACAUCCUUUUCUUGUUUUCUAUGGUGGCUAACAUGGGGACUCUGACAAACACACUACAUGUGGCUAGUGGCUUAUGGGUCAAAUUAUAAAGACUAGAGGAAAGACAAACUAGCAUUAUUGAGAACUAAAUAUGUGCCAAGACUGUGCUCGGUGUUUCUACAUUUAUAAUUUGUAAUUUUAUUUAACCCUGGUGACAACUAUUUAGGCAAUGUCUGGUAGUGUUUUUGAAGAUCACAUGGCUAAUAGGCAGAGGAGCUAAAAUCCUUACUCAGCACUAAUUUUAAAUUGCCUCUUCCUCUGCACUCUGCUGUCCUCCACCCACCUUCCAGUAGACAUGAAAAUACCAAAAAGCUCAAUUAUAAAAUUCUCAGCUUAAAAGAAUUAUGUAUAUUGCAGAUUACUUACUAAAGAAAUAAUCUUUGGAAAUGAUACAUUACCCUUGUACUUUAAGAUAUGUGAUUCAGUUGACACACAUUUUCUAGACUUUGUGGUUUAUUUGGACAGUGUGAGACAAUCAUGUUGAAACUAGUUCACUCUACUCUUAAUUUCUCAUAAAAUUGCACUAUUGCAAGUACCUUUUACCAGGUAAAUUAUUGAGGCUAUCAUAAAACUGGAGACACGGCUAAUUGAAGAGUAUGAAUAAGAACCUCAUCAAAGGCUGGGUGUGGUGGCUCAUGCCUGUAAUCCCAGCACUUUGGGAGGCUGAAGGGGGUGGAUCACUUGAGGUCAGGAAUUUGAGACCAGCCUGGCCAACACGGUGAAAUCCCGUCUCUACUGAAAAUACAAAAAAUAUCCAGGCGUGGUGGUGCAUGCCUAUAAUCCUGGCUACUCCGGAGGCUGAGGCAGGAGAAUCCUUUGAACCCGGGAGGCCCAACUUGCAGUGAGCUAAGAUUGUGCCACUGCACUCCAGACUGGGUGACAGGGCAAGACUCCAUCUCAAAAAAAAAAAAAAAAAAAAAAAAAAAAAGAGAAGUUCAUCGAAAAUUGAGCUAACUAAAAGUAUUUCCAGCUUGGAGAUCCCACACUAAUCCGGAAGAAGUCACUGGAUCACAAUGGAGCACAACUUCCACAUUUAUAAAUAAUAGUGGUAGGCUUAAUGCUAUGAAAGUUUUAUUCCUGCUCUCAUUCUCACUUAUCGUGGUCCUUCUGAUCUCAUGUUACAUAUCAAUCUUGGAUGUUACAAUAAAUUUGCUAUGGCAGAAAACCUUUUCUUUUCUAUGAGCCUAUGAACUCUUGAAGAGGUCAGCAAACAUUCUUUGCACAUAAUAUGCACAUUUAGAAUAAGCAAGGGCUUUAAUUACCAAGCAUUGGGUCUUAUUUCUCAACAGGAGAGGUCUAGGCCACAAACAAACAUCUUUACUUCCAUAACACAAUCAGGACAGAAGGUAUGCAUGGUUAAUAGCAGUCUUUAAGAAGAAUGACUGACAAUGAUCCUUUAAAUUUUGGCCCAUAUGUAUGUCAGUACUAGGAAGGAUUUAAAAUAGUUGAGACCUUUUUGGAUAAAAUUGAAUGUGUAUAAAAUAUCCUGCUAAGUUAAGAUUAAAUAUUAGAAGUUUGGCUUUUAUCCACAUGUAUGAGUUUCCUGACUCAGAAAUAACCCAAAACUUUAAAUUAUAUUUGGCCUCUGGCAAAGUCUAUAAAAACAAGGGAAAUAUUCUACAUUAAUAAUGCAUUUAUAGACGACUAUCUCUAUUCAUAGAGGAGAAUAAUUGAAAUGGAAGUGGGUACAGCACCGUCUGUGCAAUAUGCAGACAAUUCAAACCCCAUAAUUUAUGGGUUAUAUUUUCAUGUGAUGUGUAGGGUCUUUUCUUCCAUUACAGAAACAGAUGUGCAAGAAAGUCAUAUCUAUUGGCAUAGGAAUAAUAUCACCAUUAUCACAUACGAGAAAUGAACAAAGGUUGACUGCUAGGGUUUUCAGGAGCUGUUAUUCAUAAAGUCAAAUAUUAGUAAUGAGCCACAACUGGGUUGCUCUCCUAUGGCUAUGCAACUGGCAAAAGAGAAGAGUUUUCCAUUAAAAUUGGACAUGCACACUCCCUCUUCAGUCAUAUCCUCUAUCCUUAUUCAUUUUUCCCACUAUGUAAAUUGUCCCACUUUUCAGGACUUUUUAAGGACUAUCCAGCCUUCACCAUUCUGUGUUUUUGUUUUUUUCUGGCAAAAGUAACACAAAUAAUGAAUCUACAAUAAAGAUAAAAAGUAUAGAAUGGAAUGUAGAGAGUCAAGAGUUAGAGGUGAGGGCCAUAGAUGGGGUUUCACUGGGUUACACAAGACCCAGGAGAGGGCAUCCUGCAGGUACUCUGUAAACAGACUUCAGUAUAAACCAGAUUGUUCUUGGAAAUGGACAAUUUGGAAAAAUAGGCAGUUGUUGACUCAUGAAAAUCUGUGUUACACAAGUCACCUAUCUACCAAAAGUUUUCUCAAUUCAAACCCCUUUGCUACUUUGAAAACUUCCUGACCCCAGAAAUCCCUCAUUCCAUCAUCAUUUUGGAGCCUUAGAGCUGUCACUCCUUCUCAAAUUUGCUUUUUUUUACCUUUUUUCCAUUUGAAUGAUGUUGCCUUUCAUCUUUACACACCGGGUUCUCAUAGGAAAAUAAGCUGCUGCUAAUCUUAACCUCUUGCUAUCUCCUUCAACCACAGAAAUUAUUAACACCUGGGGCUUACAAGGAGGUCUAUGGAUUUUCUAAAACUUAAUACGUUUUUAAGAUAAAUUUUUUAGUUAAAUAGAGAACUUUGGCAUGAUCCAAAACAUUGUUUAAAUGCAAAAAUAAAGACACAUUGAAAAUUGGUGCAUAAAUUGAGUGACCAGGUAAUUUUUCAUCUAAA